Molecule: ribosomal RNA, 274 nt
Filed under: uncultured bacterium
Lineage: Bacteria
Description: partial 16S ribosomal RNA
Rfam family: Bacterial small subunit ribosomal RNA
Source: RNAcentral
AUACGGAGGGUGCGAGCGUUAAUCGGAAUUACUGGGCGUAAAGCGUGCGUAGGCGGCAUGGUCAGUCGGAUGUGAAAGCCCAGGGCUUAACCUUGGAAUUGCAUUCGAUACUGCCAAGCUAGAGUAUGUUAGAGGAAAGUGGAAUUCCCGGUGUAGCGGUGAAAUGCGUAGAUAUCAGGAGGAACAUCAGUGGCGAAGGCGACUUUCUGGAUCAAUACUGACGCUCAGGUACGAAAGCGUGGGGAGCAAACAGGAUUAGAAACCCUAGUAGUCC